AAAAUCAAGGCUGAGGCGUGAUGACGAGGCACUACGGUGCUGAAGCAACAAAUGCCCUGCUUCCAGGAAAAGCCUCUAAGCAUCAGGUAACAUCAAAUCGUACCCCAAACCGACACAGGUGGUCAGGUAGAGAAUACCAAGGCGCUUGAGAGAACUCGGGUGAAGGAACUAGGCAAAAUGGUGCCGUAACUUCGGGAGAAGGCACGCUGAUAUGUAGGUGAAGCGACUUGCUCGUGGAGCUGAAAUCAGUCGAAGAUACCAGCUGGCUGCAACUGUUUAUUAAAAACACAGCACUGUGCAAACACGAAAGUGGACGUAUACGGUGUGACGCCUGCCCGGUGCCGGAAGGUUAAUUGAUGGGGUUAGCGCAAGCGAAGCUCUUGAUCGAAGCCCCGGUAAACGGCGGCCGUAACUAUAACGGUCCUAAGGUAGCGAAAUUCCUUGUCGGGUAAGUUCCGACCUGCACGAAUGGCGUAAUGAUGGCCAGGCUGUCUCCACCCGAGACUCAGUGAAAUUGAACUCGCUGUGAAGAUGCAGUGUACCCGCGGCAAGACGGAAAGACCCCGUGAACCUUUACUAUAGCUUGACACUGAACAUUGAGCCUUGAUGUGUAGGAUAGGUGGGAGGCUUAGAAGUGUGGACGCCAGUCUGCAUGGAGCCGACCUUGAAAUACCACCCUUUAAUGUUUGAUGUUCUAACGUUGACCCGUAAUCCGGGUUGCGGACAGUGUCUGGUGGGUAGUUUGACUGGGGCGGUCUCCUCCUAAAGAGUAACGGAGGAGCACGAAGGUUGGCUAAUCCUGGUCGGACAUCAGGAGGUUAGUGCAAUGGCAUAAGCCAGCUUGACUGCGAGCGUGACGGCGCGAGCAGGUGCGAAAGCAGGUCAUAGUGAUCCGGUGGUUCUGAAUGGAAGGGCCAUCGCUCAACGGAUAAAAGGUACUCCGGGGAUAACAGGCUGAUACCGCCCAAGAGUUCAUAUCGACGGCGGUGUUUGGCACCUCGAUGUCGGCUCAUCACAUCCUGGGGCUGAAGUAGGUCCCAAGGGUAUGGCUGUUCGCCAUUUAAAGUGGUACGCGAGCUGGGUUUAGAACGUCGUGAGACAGUUCGGUCCCUAUCUGCCGUGGGCGCUGGAGAACUGAGGGGGGCUGCUCCUAGUACGAGAGGACCGGAGUGGACGCAUCACUGGUGUUCGGGUUGUCAUGCCAAUGGCACUGCCCGGUAGCUAAAUGCGGAAGAGAUAAGUGCUGAAAGCAUCUAAGCACGAAACUUGCCCCGAGAUGAGUUCUCCCUGACUCCUUGAGAGUCCUGAAGGAACGUUGAAGACGACGACGUUGAUAGGCCGGGUGUGUAAGCGCAGCGAUGCGUUGAGCUAACCGGUACUAAUGAACCGUGAGG
This 1394-nucleotide ribosomal RNA is filed under the name Escherichia coli. Its description in RNAcentral is "partial 23S ribosomal RNA". It matches the Rfam family "Bacterial large subunit ribosomal RNA", at positions 1546 to 2916 of the family's 2925-position model. Lineage: Bacteria; Pseudomonadati; Pseudomonadota; Gammaproteobacteria; Enterobacterales; Enterobacteriaceae. The record is from RNAcentral.